UGCUGCCUUAACUGGUAACUGGUGUUGUCAA
RNAcentral lists this non-coding RNA (31 nucleotides) under Rattus norvegicus (Norway rat). Lineage: Eukaryota; Metazoa; Chordata; Mammalia; Rodentia; Muridae. The record is from RNAcentral.